This is a non-coding RNA of Pteropus alecto (black flying fox), 73 nucleotides long. Lineage: Eukaryota; Metazoa; Chordata; Mammalia; Chiroptera; Pteropodidae. The record is from Rfam.
GGCCUUGUAGCUCAGGAGUUGGAACACUGGUCUUGUAAACCAGGGGUCAUGAGUUCAAAUCUCGCUGGGGCCU